Molecule: long non-coding RNA, 861 nt
Filed under: Ananas comosus (pineapple)
Lineage: Eukaryota; Viridiplantae; Streptophyta; Magnoliopsida; Poales; Bromeliaceae
Description: long non-coding RNA (ACOM_LNC020696)
Source: RNAcentral
UAAAAAUUCUAAGUUUUUUAUCCAAAUCAGAAAAAAAUAGAUUUUCACAUCUUUCUAGAAACUAAUAUCUUCAAACUUAUUCCCACCGUCCCUAGAGCAAGUGGCAAAGGGUUUGGUGGUUGGUACUCGAGACCCAAGUUCGAAUCCUAGUUGAUUCAUAUUUCCAGCUGUGUUUAUUUUCCAAAUGAAAUAAACGAAGCGGGUAGCGUGCUACCUAUCUCUCAAAAAAAAUAUAUAUAUCUUCAAACUUAUCCAGGAGAAGGAAAUGAUCCAAGUUUCUCAGCUCAGGCCUACAAAUCACAUAAACCCCAUCAAAUUAACACCCAAAAUAGAAAAACCAAAAUGUACAUAUAUAAAAAAGAAUGAAUUUAUAAAAAUGACUUUUUUUCUUUCACAAGAAGUAAUUGAUUCAUCUGAAAGUUUGAUCUUAGUCAUUCAAUGAAUUACAAACUUUUAUGUGAAUUACUUUCCAAUGCUUCUCCUCACGAUGGCGUCUUGUCCAUGAAAAAAAAUUAGCAAAAUAAUAAAAGAAUAAAAUGGUGACUAUGAAAAGAUAAAAACGUAUUGGUAGAGUAAUCAAUUAUGAUUAUAAUUACCAUGAAACGUUAAUGUAGAUUAUCAUUAAUUCAUGAAAUGUUAAUAGAUAUACCGGAGAGGAGAGGGGAGGGGAAGGGUGGGAGAGAUGAAGAGAUGCCUAAUACGGUGAGAAUUAAAGGAGAGAGAAUUAAUACGUUAUUGGAGAUUAAUAAAAUAGGUAUAGAUAUAGAUUAUCUAUCUAUUAACCUAAGAAUGAAGGGUUUCUUGCCACGUGGCAAGAAGCAUUGUGAAUUCAUUAUGUUUAAUAGAUAUUUUCUGAUGAUA